UCCCCAUUUCAUCUACAUCAGAGACUCAAGCACAGAAUAUCACUGCACUGCUCUGAAGCCAUUCAUAUCUAUACAAAAUUUAUAUUUCAAAACUCCUGGAAAAACAAUGUUCAUUCUAUACGUUAUUGACCCACAAGACCUUUGGGAAAAAAUCUGGGUUCAACUUCUACGCACUUCAUAGGAUUAUAGGAGUCGUUCAAAGCAUUUUCAUGAUCCAGAGCUUGUAUUUUUUUAUAUACAGAUAUACAAGAGAAGGUCCAAUCAAAUUUGAAUCUGAAAGACGCUUGCAAAGCUUAA
This 297-nucleotide unclassified non-coding RNA is filed under the name Hevea brasiliensis (rubber tree). The record is from RNAcentral. Lineage: Eukaryota; Viridiplantae; Streptophyta; Magnoliopsida; Malpighiales; Euphorbiaceae.